This 301-nucleotide ribosomal RNA is filed under the name uncultured bacterium. Its description in RNAcentral is "partial 16S ribosomal RNA". It matches the Rfam family "Bacterial small subunit ribosomal RNA", at positions 509 to 807 of the family's 1533-position model. The record is from RNAcentral.
CAGUAGCCACGGGAAAACAGAGGGUGCAAGCGUUAAUCGGAAUUACUGGGCGUAAAGCGCGCGUAGGUGGUUUGUUAAGUUGGAUGUGAAAGCCCCGGGCUCAACCUGGGAACUGCAUCCAAAACUGGCAAGCUAGAGUACGGUAGAGGGUGGUGGAAUUUCCUGUGUAGCGGUGAAAUGCGUAGAUAUAGGAAGGAACACCAGUGGCGAAGGCGACCACCUGGACUGAUACUGACACUGAGGUGCGAAAGCGUGGGGAGCAAACAGGAUUAGAUACCCCGGUAGUCCCUGUCUCUUAUAC